AUAUGCCUUCUCUCAAAGUAUGUGGUAUUUGUGGUAUGAGGCAUAGUGACAUUGCCUUCUCUCUCAUCCUACUCUAAUAAGGCUUUGAUAUCUGGAGCUCAUAGGUGGGAGAUAAAGUAUACAUACUUAUAAGACAUUUAUUGCAUAGUCAAACCAUGGACCCAGAGAAACAAGUCAAUAAGUCAAUAUCAAGAUGUGCAUGUGUGGCAAAUGGAUGGUGUAUGGUGAUGAUGGUGAAAACAAUGGUGAAAGUCUAAUUCUACUUUUGCUCUUUUGAGGGGAUACAUACCUUUCUUGCACUUUGAAGCUUUUUGAGGAAAAUGAGAUGCUCUAUAUUUUCUUUUUCUUUUCUCUCAGGUGGGUAUCUUGUACCCCUAAUUCUACUAUCGGACACUUGUCCAUUUUUACCUAUCGUCUCACUUUUUCUUUUCUUCGAGGCUCCGAGCACUUGCCGCUUUUUAUUUCCUCGUAUUCACUCUUUUUUUUCAGAGCACUCACCCUCCUGGAAUAAUGUAGCAAGUGGUAGUAACCAAAAUAUCUCGAGCAUUUAUUUCACGGGGAAUAACAGGGAUAGGAUAAUGUUUUUGCUUAUUCUCUCGUGGAUAGGAGUAGAAUAAUUUUGGGUGAAUCUGGAGAAAGAAAUGAGUGGAUGUAUGUGGAUGCGUACUUUCAGAGUAGAAGCAACAUGUAUGAGUGAACGUGCAAGUGAAUCUUGAUUUUAACCGCAUGACAAGCACCUAAGGGUCUACACAGCUUGACCACACUCAAUGCUCAUAAGCAGUAAAAAGUAAAUGAAUGGUUCAUAGUCUAAUAAGCAUGUAUAUAUGGCUGUGGUAGGAUGUUAAACUCUCAUCAUACAGGAACUCAUCAUGCAACAUUUUAAAGAUUUUCAAAGAUAAAAUUCUCCAGAAUUAUAGCAUCUCUAGAAACAGAUAAACAGCAGCUCAACCUUCCCAUAUCGUAUCCAUUAACGACUUAGACUUUAGAUCAAGUAUUCUUCCC
This 1002-nucleotide long non-coding RNA is filed under the name Sorghum bicolor (sorghum). RNAcentral describes it as "long non-coding RNA (SBIC_LNC000315)". The record is from RNAcentral. Lineage: Eukaryota; Viridiplantae; Streptophyta; Magnoliopsida; Poales; Poaceae.